This is a long non-coding RNA of Carassius auratus (goldfish), 519 nucleotides long. RefSeq lists it as uncharacterized. The transcript is spliced from 5 exons. Lineage: Eukaryota; Metazoa; Chordata; Actinopteri; Cypriniformes; Cyprinidae. The record is from RefSeq and is a predicted model, not a curated record.
UGAACGAUGGAGGAGACGCAGAUGGAGGCCUCACAGUCUCUGAACGAGAGUCGAGUUUCCCACGCUUCAGGUUUCUUAGUCAGAGCCGCACAAAGAGGGGCCUGUGCAGGUGAUGGGGACACUGGAACGCCAGGGAUGUCUGGAUUGAAGUACAUGGGAGGAUUCAUCUCUUCAGCUUCGUUCAUGAAAACUCUUCGUUUUGGCCAACAGCACCAGAUCACCACCUGAGAGGAGGAACACCGUUGUCCUUUAACAGAAAAAAGAUUCCUCUCACAAGCUCUGGAUUGGCUUGAGUCGGCCCAAACAGCAGACGAGAAGUGACUAUCACAGACCCAUUACUAAGAAAGUAAGUCACACAGGUUUGGAAUGACAUGAAGUAGGCUGAUUCAACAUCCACUAAUGUCCUGGACUCUGGAGAAACUGGCUCUUUAUCAGACUGAACAGUCUUUGUAUUGUUUGAGCACCUGAGCAGGUACCAUGCACAGGUGGGAGGAGCUCCUGCAAUUCAUUGUCUCUGAG